Molecule: long non-coding RNA, 3533 nt
Organism: Acanthochromis polyacanthus (spiny chromis)
Lineage: Eukaryota; Metazoa; Chordata; Actinopteri; Pomacentridae
Exons: 3
Source: RefSeq, a predicted model, not a curated record
UAGGUGUUUUGUGGUCAUUUUGCAACUUUUUAUUGUUAUUUUGUGUGUCUCUCAUCAUCUGUGUCUUUAUAUGAUAUUUAUCUGUCGCAUUGAGUCAUUUUGUGAUUUUCUGUGGUCAUUUUCCGUCUUUUUGAGCAUUUUUUGGUCCUUAUCAGUCUGUUUGUGGUCAUGCUGUGGCUUUUUGGGGUUGUUUUGUGUGUCUUUGUGCUCAUUUUGUUUCUUUUUUGGUCAUUUUCCGUCCGUUUGUGGGCAUUUUAGGUCUUUCUUUGGUCAUUUUGUGCACUUUUUUUGGCUGUUUUCAGUAUGUUUGUUGUAAUUUUAGGUAUUUCUGUGAUCAUUUUGCAAUUAUUUUGACGUUAUUUUGUGUGUCUAUCAUCCUUUAUAUGAUAAUUAUCUGUCUCACUGAGUCAUUUUGUGUUUUUCUCUCGUUGUUUUGUGUCAUUUUUUUGUCAUUUUGUGCAUCUUUGUGCUCAUUUUGCUUCAUUUUUGGUCAUUUUCAGACUUUUGUGGUUAUUUAAGACUUUUUGAGGUCUGUUUGUGCCCCUUUGUGACCGUUUUCAGUAUGUUUGUUGUAAUUUUAGGUAUUUCUGUGAUCAUUUUGCAAUUAUUUUGACGUUAUUUUGUGUUUCUAUCAUCCUUUUGUGUAUUUAUAUGAUAAUUAUCUGUCUCACUGAGUCAUUUUGUGUUUUUCUGUCAUUAUUUUGUGUCACUUUUUGUCAUUUUGUGCAUUUUUGUGGUCAUGUUGGGUCUUUCUGUGGUUGUUUUGUGCGUCUUUGUGCUCAUUUUGCUUCAUUUUUGGUCAUUUUCAGACUGUUUUGUGGGUAUUUAAGACUUUUUGAGAUCUGUUUGUGCCCCUUUGUGACCAUUUUCAGUCUGUUUGUGGUAGUUUUAGGUGUUUUGUGGUCAUUUUGCAACUUUUUAUUGUUAUUUUGUGUGUCUCUCAUCAUCUGUGUCUUUAUAUGAUAUUUAUCUGUUGCAUUGAGUCAUUUUGUGAUUUUCUGUGGUCAUUUUCCAUCUUUUUGAGCAUUUUUUGGUCCUUAUCAGUCUGUUUGUGGUCAUGCUGUGGCUUUUUGGGGUUGUUUUGUGUGUCUUUGUGCUCAUUUUGUUUCUUUUUUGGUCAUUUUCCGUCCGUUUGUGGGCAUUUUAGGUCUUUCUGUGGUCAUUUUGUGCACUUUUUUUGGCUGUUUUCAGUAUGUUUGUUGUAAUUUUAGGUAUUUCUGUGAUCAUUUUGCAAUUAUUUUGACGUUAUUUUGUGUUUCUAUCAUCCUUUUGUGUCUUUAUAUGAUAGUUAUCUGUCUCACUGAGUCAUUUUGUGUUUUUCUCUCGUUAUUUUGUGUCAUUUUUUUGUCAUUUUGUGCAUUUUUGUGGUCAUGUUGGAUCUUUCUGUGGUUGCUUUGUGCGUCUUUGUGCUCAUUUUUGCUUCAUUUUUGGUCAUUUUCAGACUGUUUUGUGGGUAUUUAAGACUUUUUGAGAUCUGUUUGUGCCCCUUUGUGACUAUUUUCAGUCUGUUUGUGGUAGUUUUAGGUGUUUUGUGGUCAUUUUGCAACUUUUUAUUGUUAUUUUGUGUGUCUCUCAUCAUCUGUGUCUUUAUAUGAUAUUUAUCUGUCGCAUUGAGUCAUUUUGUGAUUUUAUGUGGUCAUUUUCUGUCUUUUUGAGCCUUUUUUGGUCCUUUUCAGUCUGUUUGUGGUCAUGAUGUGGCUUUUUGUGGUUGUUUUGUAUGUCUUUGUGCUCAUUUUGUUUCUUUUUGGUCAUUUUCAGACUGUUUUGUGGAGAUUUAGGUGUUUUGUGGUCAUUCUGUGGGUCUCUGUGGUCAUUUUGCAACUUUUUGUUGUUAUUUUGUUGCUCUCUCUCAUCAUUUUGUAUCAUUAUUUGAUAAUUAUGUGUCUCAUUGAGUCAUUUUGUUUCUUUUUGAGCCUUUUUCCUUUGUCAGUUUGUGUCUCUUUGUGGUCAUUGUUGGUCAUUAUCAGUCUGUUUGCGGUCACAAAAUGUGUCUCCUUAUUUUUUUCAUUCUGUUUUUCAGUGCAUUGUUUCCUCCAGUCUUUUCAGCUCAGUGUAAAGCCCCAUUCUGUGCUCAGUGUGCCGGUGCUCUAUCAGCUCUAAUGAGACACACCUGAGGCUGCUCACCUGUGGAGGAGGGGCCUACACCGUGAGGAAGACAUCAGCUGAAAGGAGAACGGCUUCCUCACUGGAACAUAAUCGAGAACGGAAUUAAGUGUCGGCAGGCCAGUAUCAGCGGAGGAUUGUGGAGGAAGUGAGGGCUGAUGGGAGAGAAUCACAAGGAUCAUCCAGGAGUUUAAAGGAGUCCGGUCCUGGAGAGAUGUGACGGUCGGAGCUACAACACUGAGAUCACAGUGAGUUCAUUCAUCUUUUUAAGCAGUCAGUGGGUGAAACUAACCCGUCUCACAGCGGUCUAAACCCAGCUAACAUUCCAUAUUAGCGCGUGAACACUCAAGUAGUGAAUGUUUGGGCUUGUAGAAGGGCAGGGUACGCUGAUGAAAAGAUCCAUAACACAAGACAAAACCAAUGCGAUAUCACUGAAUGAAAUAAAUAACUGCUGAACCCAACAACAAUGGCGACUUAUCUACAGUACCGUUCAUAAGUUUGGUGUCACCCAGACAAUUUCAUGUUUUGAUGAGACCAUUAAGUACAAAAUAACUCAAAGAGUUCAUGAUGGACCAAUGGACAUGUGUUUGACGAAUGGACAUCUGUUGGACCAAUGGAUAUGUGUUGGACAAAUGGACAUGUGUUUGACGAAUGGACAUCUGCUGGACGAAUGGACAUGUGUUGGACCAAUGGACAUCUGCUGGACGAAUGGACGUGUUGGACGAAUGGACAUGUGUUGGACGAAUGGACAUGUGUUGGACGAAUGGACAUCUGUUGGACCAAUGGACAUCUGUUGGACCAAUGGACGUGUUGGACCAAUGGAUAUGUGUUGGACGAAUGGACAUCUGUUGGACCAAUGGACAUGUGUUGGACCAAUGGACAUGUGUUGGACCAAUGGACAUGUGUUGGACCAAUGGACAUGUGUUGGACCAAUGGAUAUGUGUUGGACGAAUGGACAUCUGUUGGACCAAUGGACAUGUGUUGGACCAAUGGACAUGUGUUGGACGAAUGGACAUGUGUUGGACCCAUGGACAUGUGUUGGACCAAUGGACAUGUGUUGGACGAAUGGACAUCUGUUGGACGAAUGGACAUCUGUUGGACCAAUGGACAUGUGUUGGACCAAUGGACAUGUGUUGGACCAAUGGACAUGUGUUGGACCAAUGGACAUGUGUUGGACGAAUGGACAUGUGUUGGACGAAUGGACAUGUGUUGGACCCAUGGACAUGUGUUGGACCCAUGGACAUGUGUUGGACCAAUGGACAUGUGUUGGACCAAUGGACAUGUGUUGGACCAAUAUAAUGUAUGGAUUUUAUUUUAUUUAUUUAUUUUUUUAAUUGUGUGGAAAUUGAGGGUUUAUGGUUGGAUGGCCUAGGGGAGGUGGAGUGGGGGAAUGGUGGGUUGCAUGGUUUAUUCCUUUUUGCCACUCUAUG